GCUCUGCCUGGCUGUUAACAGCACCAGGGCUUCUCCGCUCUCCCCAGGUAUCUAGCCCCAAAGCUUUUUCAACUCUACUGCUUUCUUAUCUGCCUGCCUGGAACCCCAUCUUCACCUCCUUCAUCUCCCUCUUUCUGGUUUCCCUUCCUGGUGUCCCCGGCCUGCAACAUACUGAGUCCUGCAGCUAUGACCUUCCUCUGGCUCUCAGCUUCUCUCUUUUGAUGCUCAAGAGGUGUAAGAUUGUCACAGCCACAGCAGGGAAGAAAAACAGGCUUCUCUGUGCUCUUAUUGAUGAACUGAGGAGGCCCUUCUCAAGCCUGGCCUCCAGCUCUGGCCUCCAGGCCCUGGGAGGGGCAUUAAACACACGGCCCACCCACCCUGGCUUCAGACUCUCACAGCUUCUGUCGUCACACACUUGCCACUACACCUUCCCCUCUGGCCUCAUAAGGACCUUCAAAGUAAAUCACGGAAGGAAUCCUUAGCCUGUUUUCUUUGGAUGUGGAUAUGGAAAUUCAGCUAGAAGUUGGGGGACCCAGAACUUAGCCUGGGGACUGGUGAUUCUCUCCAGAGCCCUCGGAGCCAGAGCGGCCAGGUGCCAGGUGUGGCUGCUCAACCCCUAGGUUUUCAGUGUCCUUCUUCGGGGCCACUGUCCCUCCAGGCAGUAUGCACAGUGGUUAGGAGCCUCACUAAGAAGAGGGGCUGUGACACCUCUGGAGGUUAAUGGACGUGACAUGCAGAAUGCACCUGGAACACACCUGGCCCUAGAGAGUGCUCCACAGUGGCCUCUGCUCCCUAGCCACCAUUCUCUGUGGCGCUUUAAAAUCCGCCUGCAGGGUGAUCUCAUGUGCUGCCCUCACCGCUGGCCGGUAGGACUUACAGGAAGGAAUCAGGCCGAACCUCUGGAGUGGCACUUUUAUUCUAAGACCACUUCCAGGGAUGAAGGAGGAAAGACGUAGUCAUCUGCUUGCCCCAGCUCACAGCCGGACGCUGCGGCUUUUGGAAAAUAGCCACCAUGAAGCCGGUGGCCCUGGUCCCCCUCUCGAGGUAUCAUAAAGCCAUUCAUAACGGCAUAAACGCCUGACAACACUCCCUGAUGCCAGCCCGGGGUAAGUCGGACAGUGAUGAGGGUGGGAGAAACGCUGUCGGUUAUCUGAGCACCCUCUCUACCGGGACCGUGAUCCCAGCCCGGGAGGAGGGGUCUUUUGCUGUGAAAGGAGCAUUUAUUAGCGCAGGGCCAGUGCCUGGUUUAUGGACCCCAGCUGGGUGGGAGGAUGCCACCCCACCCCGCCUGCAGCCUGCGUCCUGGCCUGAAGUGUUUACUGUCAGGGUGAUUUACACCAUCCAGGUGUUCAUUUGGGAAGCAUCUCGGCUCUGAGCUGACGCGGCGAUUGCAGUGGGUUUGCAGACUGCAGCGUUUUUCUAUUCAUCAGGGUCCAGGGGCCAAAAAAGACAGUUUUUGUAAAUGCUGGCCCAAAGCAGGCUCCUGUCCUGUGAUUCCACAAAGGAAGGCUGAGUGACCAUGUUAGCCAAGCUCCCCGGUGCCCUGUCCGUGUUGGAGAAAUGGGCACUUAGUGCAGUUGCCCUGCUCUCUCAUGGAUCCUCUCAUCAGAUCAGUUCCUCCCGGCAGUCUCUGCCCUCCGAGCUUUGGUGGCCGUGUGGAUGCUAAGCCGGGCUUUCCUUCUGCUCCUUUAGCACCCCGGGGCUUUCAAAAGGGUCUUGCUAAGCAGUUUCUUUUCUUAAUGGAAUUUGGGGUUCACAGACGAGCCUGGAGUGUUGGCGAUUGCUCCAUUUCUCCCCAGCCCCACAGAUCAGCCUCUGCCGGGUGCUUCCAUGUUAAGGGAGACAUUUUUCAGGAGCCGCUUUCUCGAGAUAACCACUCUAUUAUUUUUGCUCACAUUUCAACGCAGGUGAUGGUGUUAUUGUUUUGUCACUGGGUUUCCACGGGGAGUCCCUGACACCUAUGCCUGGCAUAAUUUGAAUGCCGAAUUAAAACAUGCCCCUAUACACUAAAAAUGGCCUUUUUGUUUGAUUAAAAAAACAAAACAAAAACAUAUAUUUUAAAAUUUGUUUUAUCAUAUCCAUCUCACCUCCAUUUAAAGGAGUUUGGACAUUUAUUAACAUAUCCAUUUUUACACUUGUACUAAUCUUUUCUCCAGCCGCUUCUGGUACUCUGAUGAAAAAGCAAGAAAAUGUAUCUUGUGCCUCAUAGAACUCUCUCUCUACACACACACACACACACACACACACACACGAGGGUGAGGGGAGGAUUCUUAUAGUGAAGUAAAAGAUGAUUCUUUGUCUAUGUUUAAUUUUCGCAAAUAACUUUUUAAUGAUCCUGAAAGUAACUUUUUUACUGAUCCUGAAAAUACUGAUGCUGAAAUUUUAAGAGCUCCUUUCAACUUAGCUGGUUUUCUCUCCCUGACGAAAUUCUUCAAGAAUAGUUCUUUUGCACCCUUGCAAGAUCGGUAAACAUAAAGCGUUUGGUCAAGCAGAGGUGGGUUAAAAAGGGGGAACCAUUUGAUCCAGUUUUAGGAAAUAAUAUUAUUCCUUCUGCUUUGAACUCUAUGUUUAAAAUAGUCUUUUACGCCAAUGAUUUGAAUACUAACAAAUUCACUUAAAAAGCAUCCACAAUUCCCGUUUGUUGUGCUCUUUUCUCCCUGGACUAUGAAUAUGUAAACCUCCCCAACAGGGUAAAAAUGCAUUGAUUUGCCACACUAAACAGGGAAACGUUUGCACCAGUGACAACUGUUUAAAAUUACUGGUCCUGGGAUGAGGAAAAAAAUGGCAGAAAUAAAACAAAAUUUUUUAUUUCCAAGCAUCAAGUUGAAGCCCUUUCAAGCGAUCAUCGGCUCCCUGGGAAAUGCCUUUUCUCUGUUACCUGGCACAGCCGAACAUCAAGAAGAAACGUGGAAAACAUCACACUGACCCCCCAGAAAAAUGAAAGAAAAGUACGGAAGAGACCAAUUCCCACCCUUGCUAUAGACGGAAUAAGUAUGUGCGUUUGUGAACCUUAAGUGUUCAUCUAAAUAUGUUGCUUCAACGGAGAUCCGCUUGUGGAUACAGACACACGAAAAUACACGAGACCACGCUCUAUUUUAAGGAAUUGCUGAAGAGUGUUGAACACUCAAACCCACCGCACAGCACCCUCGCAGCUAAGAGCACAAUUGAAUGAAACCAGCGGAUUCAUUUAUUUUAACCUCCACUGGAGCUGUCCCAAAAAAGCAGGUGGCUAUUGAAAGUGUUUUUCUGUUUUUGUCUUUUUUUUUUAAUUCUAAAUAACAAGAGGGAUAAAAAUUAAUGUCGUUCUAUGGGGUCUGAACAUGAAAAGGUACGAGAGAGUGAGCCAGGGCCUGUGAAAUGGCUAAACGGAUUAGUAGCCUUACUUUUCAACAUAUAAACAUCUGAAACCCGUUUCCUGUUUAAGAAAAAAAAAGUCUAGGUGGAUGACCUCGGGCACUUUUUUUUUAUUAACAAAUGUGAAUUGUACAUCAUGGUGGGAAAAAAAAAAAAUGGUCCGCUCUUGGUGGUCUUUCUACAGUCUGUAUAUGGGAGACAGAGAAAAAAAUACAAAAAUAAA
This 3577-nucleotide long non-coding RNA is filed under the name Homo sapiens (human). RNAcentral's name for it is "HSALNT0387556". Lineage: Eukaryota; Metazoa; Chordata; Mammalia; Primates; Hominidae. The record is from RNAcentral.